RNAcentral lists this ribosomal RNA (301 nucleotides) under uncultured bacterium. RNAcentral describes it as "partial 16S ribosomal RNA". It matches the Rfam family "Bacterial small subunit ribosomal RNA", at positions 509 to 807 of the family's 1533-position model. The record is from RNAcentral.
CAGUCGCCGCGGUAAGACAGAGGAUGCAAGCGUUAUCCGGAAUGAUUGGGCGUAAAGGGCUCGCAGGCGGUUUCUUAAGUCUGAUGUGAAAGCCCCCGGCUCAACCGGGGAGGGUCAUUGGAAACUGGGAAACUUGAGUGCAGAAGAGGAGAGUGGAAUUCCACGUGUAGCGGUGAAAUGCGUAGAGAUGUGGAGGAACACCGAUGGCGAAGGCAGCCCCCUGGGCCAAUACUGACGCUCAUGCACGAAAGCGUGGGGAGCAAACAGGAUUAGAUACCCGUGUAGUCCCUGUCUCUUAUAC